CAAUAUCUUCUACAUGACUGGAUUGUUCUAUGUACCAUGAACGGAGGAGCAAGCAAAGCAGAGUGGGUCCAUGCUCCAAUAGAGUUUAUCUUUUACUCCAGACAAAGAUGAAGAGCAUUUCUUGCAUAAGAGCAUUCGUAUCAGGAAUGACUUCAUCUGCAAGGACAGAAAACCCGACUGGUGGCUUAAACAUGGGGAGGCUGACCAUCUCACAUGAUAAUAAAUAGAUGGUAAAAACUGUGUACAGAAGAGAAUCAAUAAAGAGGAAAAUGGUGAAGAAACAAGAAAGAAGAAGUACUUGAUGGAUUGGAGUUCAGAAGACUGCUGGGGACAUGAGGACAAGGACAUCGAAGAGAUGAGCUUGGAAGGGCAUCUAAGUCAGCAGGGAUGGAGCAAUUCUCUUCAUUAGGUAAUCGCUAUUUGCUGAGUUUAGUUUUCACUGAGAUGAGAGGUUGCUGCCUCCAGGGGUCAAACAUGUAGUUUACCAGGUA
Molecule: long non-coding RNA, 491 nt
Organism: Hipposideros armiger (great roundleaf bat)
Lineage: Eukaryota; Metazoa; Chordata; Mammalia; Chiroptera; Hipposideridae
Exons: 3
Source: RefSeq, a predicted model, not a curated record